Molecule: ribosomal RNA, 843 nt
Filed under: uncultured Chloroflexota bacterium
Lineage: Bacteria; Bacillati; Chloroflexota
Description: bacterial SSU rRNA
Rfam family: Bacterial small subunit ribosomal RNA
Source: RNAcentral
GUAGGAGACGAGCGUUAUCCGGAUUUACUGGGCGUAAAGCGCGUGCAGGCGGCAUGGCAAGUUGGAUGUGAAAGCCCCCGGCUUAACUGGGAGAGGUCGUUCAAUACUGCCAGGCUUGAGAGUGGUAGAGGGAAGCGGAAUUCCGGGUGUAGUGGUGAAAUGCGUAGAUAUCCGGAGGAACACCAGUGGCGAAAGCGGCUUCCUGGCCCAUUUCUGACGCUCAGACGCGAAAGCUAGGGUAGCAAACGGGAUUAGAGACCCCGGUAGUCCUAGCCGUAAACGAUGUGAACUUGGCGUUGGCGGGUUUAAAUCCGUCAGUGCCGUAGCUAACGCGAUAAGUUCACCGCCUGGGGACUACGGCCGCAAGGUUAAAACUCAAAGGAAUUGACGGGGGCCCGCGCAAGCAGCGGAGCGUGUGGUUUAAUUCGAUGUUACACGAAGAACCUUACCAGGGUUUGACAUGUAGGUGGUAGUGAAGCGAAAGCGGAACGACUCUUCGGAGAGCCUGCACAGGUGCUGCAUGGCUGUCGUCAGCUCGUGUCGUGAGAUGUUCGGUUAAGUCCGCUAACGAGCGCAACCCCUGCCGUGUGUUACAAGUGUCACACGGGACUGCCGGUCUUAAGCCGGAGGAAGGUGGGGAUGACGUCAAGUCAGCAUGGCCUUUAUAUCCUGGGCUACACACACGCUACAAUGGGUGGUACAACAGGUUGCGAAACCGCGAGGUGGAGCCAAUCCUCAAAGCCAUCCUCAGUUCAGAUUGUAGGCUGCAACUCGCCUGCAUGAAGCUGGAGUUGCUAGUAACCGCGCGUCAGCAUUAGUGCGGUGAAUACGUUCCCGGGCCUU